GUCGAGCGGACUGAAGGGAGCUUGCUCCCGGACGUUAGCGGCGGACGGGUGAGUAACACGUAGGCAACCUGCCUUGUAGACUGGGAUAACUUCGGGAAACCGGAGCUAAUACCGGAUGUUAGAUGAAUCGCGCAUGCGUUUUAUCUUAAAGUUGGCCUCGGCUAACACUACAAGAUGGGCCUGCGGCGCAUUAGCUAGUUGGUAAGGUAGUGGCUUACCAAGGCGACGAUGCGUAGCCGACCUGAGAGGGUGAUCGGCCACACUGGGACUGAGACACGGCCCAGACUCCUACGGGAGGCAGCAGUAGGGAAUCUUCCGCAAUGGACGAAAGUCUGACGGAGCAACGCCGCGUGAGCGAUGAAGGCCUUCGGGUCGUAAAGCUCUGUUGUUAGGGAAGAACAAGUGCCAUUCAAAUAGGGUGGCACCUUGACGGUACCUAACGAGAAAGCCACGGCUAACUACGUGCCAGCAGCCGCGGUAAUACGUAGGUGGCAAGCGUUGUCCGGAAUUAUUGGGCGUAAAGCGCGCGCAGGCGGUAUCUUAAGUCUGAUGUGAAAGCCCACGGCUCAACCGUGGAGGGUCAUUGGAAACUGGGAUACUUGAGUACAGA
This 610-nucleotide ribosomal RNA is filed under the name uncultured Anaerobacillus sp. RNAcentral's name for it is "bacterial SSU rRNA". It matches the Rfam family "Bacterial small subunit ribosomal RNA", at positions 61 to 652 of the family's 1533-position model. The record is from RNAcentral. Lineage: Bacteria; Bacillati; Bacillota; Bacilli; Caryophanales; Bacillaceae.